This 494-nucleotide ribosomal RNA is filed under the name uncultured bacterium. RNAcentral describes it as "partial 16S ribosomal RNA". It matches the Rfam family "Bacterial small subunit ribosomal RNA", at positions 28 to 507 of the family's 1533-position model. The record is from RNAcentral.
GACGAACGCUGGCGGCGUGCUUAACACAUGCAAGUCGAACGGAAAGGCCUGCUUUCCCUUGUGGAUUGCGGGUGCUCGAGUGGCGAACGGGUGAGUAACACGUGAGUGAUCUGCCCCCAACUUGGGUAUAAGCCUGGGAAACUGGGUCUAAUUCCCGAUAGGACUGCAGGGUGGUGCCUGUGGUGGAAAACGAUUUUCUUGUGUGUGGGGAUGAGCUCGCGGCCUAUCAGCUUGUUGGUGGGGCAAUGGCCUACCAAGGCGGGGAGGGGUAGCCGGCCUGAGAGGGUGGACGGCCACAUUGGGACUGAGACAAGGCCCAGACUCCUACGGGAGGCAGCAGAGGGGAAUAUUGGACAAUGGGCGGAAGCCUGAUGCAGCGACGCCGCGUGGGGGAUGACGGGCUUCGGGUUGUAAACUCCUUUCGACCGAGAGGAAGCCACCUGGUUGGAAGGGUGGUGACGGUAGUGGUAGAAGAAGCACCGGCUAACUACGUG